GAAUAGGGGAGCCGGAGGGAAACCGAGUCUUAACCGGGCGUUAAGUUGCAGGGUAUAGACCCGAAACCCGGUGAUCUAGCCAUGGGCAGGUUGAAGGUUGGGUAACACUAACUGGAGGACCGAACCGACUAAUGUUGAAAAAUUAGCGGAUGACCUGUGGCUGGGGGUGAAAGGCCAAUCAAACCGGGAGAUAGCUGGUUCUCCCCGAAAGCUAUUUAGGUAGCGCCUCGUGAAUUCAUCUCCGGGGGUAGAGCACUGUUUCGGCUAGGGGGCCAUCCCGGCUUACCAACCCGAUGCAAACUGCGAAUACCGGAGAAUGUUAUCACGGGAGACACACGGCGGGUGCUAACGUCCGUCGUGAAGAGGGAAACAACCCAGACCGCCAGCUAAGGUCCCAAAGUCAUGGUUAAGUGGGAAACGAUGUGGGAAGGCCCAGACAGCCAGGAUGUUGGCUUAGAAGCAGCCAUCAUUUAAAGAAAGCGUAAUAGCUCACUGGUCGAGUCGGCCUGCGCGGAAGAUGUAACGGGGCUAAACCAUGCACCGAAGCUGCGGCAGCGACGCUGAUGCGUUGUUGGGUAGGGGAGCGUUCUGUAAGCCUGCGAAGGUGGCCUGUGAGGGUUGCUGGAGGUAUCAGAAGUGCGAAUGCUGACAUAAGUAACGAUAAAGCGGGUGAAAAGCCCGCUCGCCGGAAGACCAAGGGUUCCUGUCCAACGUUAAUCGGGGCAGGGUGAGUCGACCCCUAAGGCGAGGCCGAAAGGCGUAGUCGAUGGGAAACGGGUUAAUAUUCCCGUACUUGGUGUUACUGCGAAGGGGGGACGGAGAAGGCUAUGUUGGCCGGGCGACGGUU
RNAcentral lists this ribosomal RNA (847 nucleotides) under Salmonella enterica. Its description in RNAcentral is "partial 23S ribosomal RNA". It matches the Rfam family "Bacterial large subunit ribosomal RNA", at positions 655 to 1503 of the family's 2925-position model. The record is from RNAcentral. Lineage: Bacteria; Pseudomonadati; Pseudomonadota; Gammaproteobacteria; Enterobacterales; Enterobacteriaceae. RNAcentral also lists the same sequence under 1 other name.